AUACAGCUGACGAGUCCCAACUAGAACGAAACACGCGUCCUGGAU
Molecule: non-coding RNA, 45 nt
Organism: Schistosoma margrebowiei
Lineage: Eukaryota; Metazoa; Platyhelminthes; Trematoda; Strigeidida; Schistosomatidae
Source: Rfam